This is a non-coding RNA of Paramuricea clavata, 511 nucleotides long. The record is from the annotation of a GenBank genome assembly. NCBI's taxonomy places the organism in Eukaryota, Metazoa, Cnidaria, Anthozoa, Malacalcyonacea, Plexauridae.
GAAUAUCUCGAGGAACUUGAUGAAAUUAAUUGCUCAGCCCGAGGUAAUGUAUUGAAUCAAUAUUUGAGCAACACUUCAAUUGGAACGACAGUAAGCCUGGCCUAGGUUUUUUGUAGUGUGAAUGCACUUCAGCCUGGCCUAGGCCAGGAAAUCUCGGUCCAUCAGUUUGUUUACACUACAAAAAUCUAGUUCAAAGGUAGGCCCAGGCCAGGAUUAGGCUCGUAGUGUAAACACAGCUUUACACUACCUAAAAGAUAAACAAGAACUUCUUGUUUAUCUUUCAGAGUCUAUCUCAUUUACCAGGAGUACCUACACUGGCACCCCACUUCCUUGAGGUCCAUUUACAUGAUACGACUAGUCAUAUACUAUUGUCGUUCUGUCUUGAUUGUCGUUCAAGCAAUUGCUGACACAAACUAUUUCUGUUCAAUAGUUUAUAUCAAAAUUUGUAAUGUGGCAUCUUUGCAUACAUCAGGCACAGAUUUUCUGGGGGGGGGGGGUGCACCCCCCAGAA